ACGGAAGGCAGCAGUGGGGAAUAUUGCACAAUGGGCGAAAGCCUGAUGCAGCGACGCCGCGUGAGCGAAGAAGUUAUUCGUAAUGUAAAGCUCUAUCAGCAGGGAAGAAAAUGACGGUACCUGACUAAGAAGCUCCGGCUAAAUACGUGCCAGCAGCCGCGGUAAUACGUAUGGAGCAAGCGUUAUCCGGAUUUACUGGGUGUAAAGGGAGCGUAGACGGAAUUGCAAGUCUGAUGUGAAAUUCCGGGGCUUAACCCCGUAUCUGCAUUGGAAACUGUAAUUCUGGAGUGCCGGAGAGGUAAGCGGAAUUCCUAGUGUAGCGGUGAAAUGCGUAGAUAUUAGGAGGAACACCAGUGGCGAAGGCGGCUUACUGGACUGUAACUGACGUUGAGGCUCGAAAGCGUGGGGAGCAAACAGGAUUAGAUACCCUGGUA
This 434-nucleotide ribosomal RNA is filed under the name uncultured Lachnospiraceae bacterium. RNAcentral describes it as "partial 16S ribosomal RNA". It matches the Rfam family "Bacterial small subunit ribosomal RNA", at positions 341 to 792 of the family's 1533-position model. The record is from RNAcentral. Lineage: Bacteria; Bacillati; Bacillota; Clostridia; Lachnospirales; Lachnospiraceae.